Molecule: ribosomal RNA, 458 nt
Filed under: uncultured Desulfocapsa sp.
Lineage: Bacteria; Pseudomonadati; Thermodesulfobacteriota; Desulfobulbia; Desulfobulbales; Desulfocapsaceae
Description: bacterial SSU rRNA
Rfam family: Bacterial small subunit ribosomal RNA
Source: RNAcentral
ACAAGCGGUGGAGCAUGUGGUUUAAUUCGACGCAACGCGAAGAACCUUACCUAGGUUUGACAUCCCGGGGAGUCUCUUGAAAGAGAGAUGUGCCUUUCGGGGAGCCCGGAGACAGGUGCUGCAUGGCUGUCGUCAGCUCGUGUCGUGAGAUGUUGGGUUAAGUCCCGCAACGAGCGCAACCCUUGUCUUUAGUUGCCAUCAUUCAGUUGGGCACUCUAAAGAGACUGCCGGUGUCAAACCGGAGGAAGGUGGGGAUGACGUCAAGUCCUCAUGGCCUUUAUGACCAGGGCUACACACGUACUACAAUGGCCGGUACAAAGGGCAGCCACUUAGCGAUAAGGAGCCAAUCCCGUAAAGCCGGUCUCAGUCCGGAUUGGAGUCUGCAACUCGACUCCAUGAAGUUGGAAUCGCUAGUAAUCGCAGAUCAGCACGCUGCGGUGAAUACGUUCCCGGGCCUU